CUAGGCGGUGCGGUGCGGGGGCCCGGCGGGCGCGCCUGCGCGCUGCGUCCUGGGAAAGGGCGGGCGCCGGCGUAGCGGGCUAGACGUUGAGGGACGGGCGCGCGCGGAGGGGCUGCUUGAGGGAGGCGGACGCCGGGAAGAGAAAACCUGGCUCAAGGACACCCGGAGACGCUACAGGAAUAUUCCUGGCGGCGUCGUUAAUAAGGACGAAGUCUGGAACCCCCCCCCAAGUGUCUAAGGCGACGAUACUUCAGUGAAUUGUGGUAGAUCGUGCAGCAGCACAACUACCCAGCAGCAGUGGGUGGCAUACGGCAACCAGGACGAACGGACUGUUGCGGUGGCCAAGACGUUCGUUCGUUUUUCCCGGUAAGCUGUCUCUAGCAGUACCUAGUUGUCUUUCACUUCACUGGAAAGUUUUGUUAGAUUGUAUGUGACAGCUAUCAUAUCAGCGUGCAUUUAAGAAAAGACUUAUAAAACUUGGUGAAUUUUUGUGUAGCCAUCUUACUGUUGAAGAUGGAAGGAAAAAAAGCAAUAUUUUCGGCAUGUCAUGCUUUAUUAUUUCAAGAAAGGUAAAAAUGCAGCUGAAACGCACAAAAAGAUUUGUGCAGCGUGUGGAGACGGUGCUGUGACGGAUCGAACGUGUCAAAAAUGGUUUGUAAAAUUCCUCGCUCGGGUUAGACCAGGGUUAGACCAGUUGAUUGAUAGCAAUCAAAUCGAGACAUUAAUGGAGGACAAUCAACGUUAUACCACGUGGGAGAUAGACAGCAUACUCAAAGUAUCCAGAUCAAGCGCUGAUAAUCCUUUGCACCAGCUGGGUUUUGCGAAUCGCUUUGAUGUUUGGGUUCCACAUAAGUUAAGCGAAAGACACAUUAUUGACCAUAUUUCCGCGUGCGAUUCUCUACUUAAAGAUAACGAAAACGUUCCGUUUUUAAAACAAAUUGUGACGGGCGAUGAAAAGCAGAUGAUGUACAAUAAUGUGGAACGGAAGAGAUUGUGGGGCAAUCGAAAUGAACCACCUCCAACCACACCAACAUCACUGGAGUUCAUCCAAAGAAGGUGAUGUUGUGUAUAUGGUGGGAUUGGAAGGGAGUCCUCUAUUAUGAGCUCCUUACAGAAAAACCAAACAAUUUCAACAACUAUUGCUCCCAAUUAGACCAACUGAAAGGAGCACUCGGAAGAAAAGUGCCUGGAAUUAGUCAACAGAAAAUGCAUACUCUUCCAUCAGCAUAAUGCAAGGCUGCAUGUAUCUUUGAUGACCAGGCAAAAACUGUUACAGCUUGGCUGGGAAGUUCUGAUUCAUCCGCUGUUUUCACCAGACAUUGAUUGCACCUUCGGAUUUCCAUUUAUUUUGGUCUUUACAAAAUUCUCUUAAUGGAAAAAAUUUCAAUUCCCUGGAAGACUGUGAAAGGCAGCCGGAAAAGUUCUUUGCUCAAAAAGAUAAAAAGUUUUGGGAAGAUGGAAUUAUGAAGUUGCCUGAAAAAUGGCAGAAGGUAGUGGAACAAAAGGGUGAAUAGGUUGUUCAAUAAAGUUCUUGGUGAAAAUGAAAAAUGUGUCUUUUAUUUUUGCUUAAAAACGAAGGAACUUUUUGGCCAACCAGUAGCUACACGAAACAGCAUGAAAUUCGCAAACAUAGUUCUGGGUAUACGAAGCCAAAGACAAAGGAAUAUUUACUGUGGGAAUCCAUUUUAACAUCCAGAAGUAGGCAGUACUAAACUAUGUUGUUCAGGGUGCAUUUCCAGGUGACGUAAUUAUAAAGAGAAAAGCAAGGAAGUAAUUACUACAAAAGUCAGAAUGGUAGUUACCUCCGAGCAAAGGAGGGGACUGUGAUCAGGGAGGGUCAGAGGAGGUGCUUCUGGAGUGUUGAGAACAUUCUAUUUUUUGACCUAGGUGGUGGUUACUCAGUUGUUUGAUUUAAAAGUAUUCUUUAUAAACAGUGCUUUCGUGUUGUGCAUACUCUUCUCCAUGAAUGUUAUUUCUUGCUAUUUUUUAAAAAUAGCACCUUAAAGAAAAAACGAAUGCCUAUGAAUCAGUAAGGAAAAGACAAUCCAAUAGAAAAGUGGGAAAAGACAUGAUAGGCAUUUCAUAGGAGAGAAAACACAGAUUACAUGGAAACAUGGAAAAGAUGCCCAACCUCAUGAAUAAUCAUAAUGCACAUUUAAACCACAAUGAGAUAACAUUUCACUCUACUAGAUUGGCGGGAAUGUAAAAGUCUGAUGACCAAGUGCUGGCAAGGAUUUGGAGGAAAGGGAAUUAUUAUGGGCUAGUCUCAUCCACUUUGGAAAAACCAGCAUUACCUAGAAAGACUAGAUAUGUGCACCCCUUAAGACUCAUCUAUUGCACUCCUAUUAGUAUACUCUAGGGGAACUGUUACACAUGAGCACCAGGCACCAUGUUGAAUAAUGUUCUAACAUCUUUAUUCAUAAUAACUAGAAACAAUCUGAAUGUCUAUGAAGACUAUUUAUAAAGUGGAGUACCAUAAAGACUUGAAAGUGAACGAAUGAAUCAACAUGCUUUUUGAAAAGGUAGUAUAAAAAAAGCAAGUCACAGAAAACACAAUAAGAUUCAAUUUAUGAAAAGUUCAAAAAUAGGAAUGCACCCCCCAAAAAAAAAUACUAUAUAGGGAAGCAAACACAAGUGUUAAAACUAUAACGAGAAGCAAGGGGAUGAAAACACUAAAUUCAGGACAGUGUUACCUCUGAGAGUAAGCCUCAUGCAAUUUUGAAGGGCAUCCAGGGAGUUUCUAAGGCACUAGUAAUGUACUCUUUCUCACUAAAAGCGGCGUGGUUUUUCAUUCUUUACAUUGUAGCUAUACAUUUUAGAUUGUCUUUUAUGCAUGUGAUUUACAUCACUGUAAAAAAAAAUUUUUUUUAAGUUGGUUAGGGAUGGGACCUUGCAUGCAUUCAACUUUUUAAAGCAUGAUACUUAAAUUUCCUCCCCAGUUCUGAUUCCAAUAUUAAAUCUUUUUCAAAACCACCGUAGUAUAAAAAUACAGACACAUGAGGGCACUCUAGUCAAUCAGUUAAAGGGAAAACAUUGAAACUGAAAAUGAAGAACCUCACAACCUUUUAUUGGUGAUAUUGGGGAGGUUUAGUUUCUUACAUAUAAGCUCUCAUUUUGAACCUUUCCAAAUAAUAAGCUCUCAUCAAAACAGAAUUUCCCAAUACCUUGAGUCAGUGGAACUAUAGUUUUAUCAUAGAACAGUUAAGGUAGUUUUUCAGGCAUCCCUUAAUCCACCUCACUUGGCCUUCUAGGUCCAGCUCUGAACACACGUUUUAAUAUAUAAGUAUGCAUCCGUUCUCUUUUUCUUUAGAAUUUAGUCAAAUGAGUAUUACACUUCCAGGUAUAUACUGAAAAGAAUUGAAAGCAGGGACUGAAACAGCUAUUUGAACAAUGUUCAUAGCAGCAUUGUUCACAAUAGUCAAAAAGUGGAAAUAACUAAGUGUCAACAGAUGAAUGGUUAUGAAUACUAUGGAAUAUUAUGCAGCCUUAAAAAGGAAUGAAGUGGACUUCCCUGGUGGCACAGUGGUUAACAAUCCGCCUGCCAAUGCAGGGGACACGGGUUCGAUCCCUGGUCCGGGAAGAUCCCACAUGCCUCAGAGUAACUAAGUCCAUGUGCCACAACUACUGAGCCCACACACCACAACUACUGAAGCCCGUGUGCCUAGAGCCUGUGCUUUGCAACAAGAGAAGCCACUGCAAGUGAGAAUCCCGCACACCAAAAUGAAGAGUAGCCCUCGUUCUCCGCAACUAGAGAAAGCCUGCGUGCGGCAACGAAGACCCAACACAGCAAAAAAUAAAUAAAUUUUUUUAAAAAAGGAAGUAAAUACUGGUACUUGCCACCAUAGUGAUGAACCUUGAAAACAUUAUGCCAAGUGAAAUAAUCCAGACACAGAGGAGCAAGUAUUGUAUGAUUCCACUUAUAUGAGGCACCUAUAAUUGACAACUUCAUAGGUACGAAAAGUAGAAUAGAGGUUACCUGGGCCUGGCAGGAGAUGGGACUGAGGAGUUAUUAUUUAGUGGGUACAGAGUUUCUGUUUGGGACAAUGAAAAUUUCUGGAAAAGGACAGUGGUGAUGGUUGCCCAACAUUAUGAAUAUACUUACUGUUACUGAAUUGUACACCUAAAAAUAGUUAAAAUCAUACAUUUUAUGUUAUAUAUAUUUUACCACAAAACUUUUUUAAAGAGUGAACAUUUGAGGUAUGUGAAAAUAGGUCAUCAAGCUUUCUUCACUUUUCCUUUUCUCCCUCUUUCUUUUACAUAUUCCGGCAUUUCAAAUUGAGAGAAAGGUAAAUUAUCCUAAUUAAAAUCAGAAAUAUGUAAUGUGAAGUUUUACAGAAUACUCCUUAGUCAGUGACUAUAGCUCCAUGGCUAUUUCUGAUGCUGAGGUUAAGGACAGCUUCUGGUGGCAGGAAAAUAGGCAUUCAUGAAUAUGUACAAAACAUGUUUCUGGAAAAGAUUUAAUAGAAUAUAUUUUUUAUAGAAUUUUCUGACUCUUGAUAAAAGUUGUGGAUUGUAAAUUUGAACCUCUCUGGGGGCGUUAUUAAACUUUUCAAAUUUUUCCUUCAUGUACAUCUGUGGGAGACCAGGUGUAUGGCAUUUAUAAGCACAAUAUUUAUUUAUGGGUUUCUAUUUCAGAAAAAGGUGUAUGUAAACACUCUCAGUAAAGCAUCUGCUUGUUACCAAGAGUAGAAAAAAAAUAUGCAUUUCCAUAACCAUUCCUAGAAGAAUUAAGCCUAGAGGCAGUAUAAUUAUUACUUAGAAGAUAGGUUGUUUCAUAUUCCCCUAAAAAGUGUAUUUUUUACAAAUGAGCAUACGUGCCUGCUUGGCAUUAGCACUACAAGCAGUGCUGCCAUGAACCAGUCCUGAUGUCCCUAAGUGGUCUUGCUGUGUCAUCUCUAGUCAUUCUUCGCAUUACAGCUUGGGGCGGUUGGUAGCGUUUUUUAAAGGCUACUCCCACUACAACACACUCUGAGGUAUGGGAUUUGGGAGUCCAUUUUUUAAGCCCUUCCCUGGUUCUCAGAACCAUCUCAUUUACAGUACAUUUUAAGCCAAUGGAACAGAAUGACGGGUCACAUUUGCUUUUCAGAGAGUUGAAAUAUCUCUCACUUUUUUAAGUGACCCCCUGUUUUAAGCAUUUAAAUGAUUAUAUUGAAAAUUAUUUUUUAUAUAAAUUUUAUUUUAUUUAUUUCUGGCUGUGUUGGGUCUUCAUUGCUGCACGCGGGUUUUCUCUAGUUGCGGCGAGCAGGGGCUACUCUUCAUUGUGGUACAUGGACCCCUCAUUGCGGUGGCUCUUCUUGUUGAGGAGCACGGGCUCUAGGUGCGUGGGCUUCAGUAGUUGUGGCAGGCAGGCUCAGUAGUUGUGGCUCGCAGGCUCUAGAGCACAGGCUCAGUGGUUGUGGCGCAUGGGCUUAGUUGCUCCGCGGCAUGUGGGAUCUUCCAGGACCAGGGCUCGAACCCUUGUUCCUGGCAUUAGCAGGCGGAUUAUUAACAACUGCGCCACCAGGGAAGCCCCCUGAAAGGAUUUUUAAACAGAUAUGCUAUUCCUCAAGAGUCUGCGGAGUGUCAACAGUGUAUUUGCCAGAAGCAAGUUGUGGAAGGCAACUAAAAAGCUUAAGUAAUGCUUAAAAAGCUUAGGCUCUGAAGUUAGAUAGAUCUUAAGUUUAAACUUCAGCUCAGUCAGUUGCUAGUUGGUUAAUCUUGAAUCACUUAACUGCUCCAACACAGAUUCCUGAUCCAUAUUAGGAUAACAGAAUACCAAAUAACCUGUUAUGAGGAAUAAAUGCAUCUAAAAUAGUUGGCAUAGUGUCUGCUAUAUAUAUUAAGCACUCAACAAAUGUGAGCCAUUGUAAUCACCAUCAUCAUCUUGUAGAUUCUGUUUCGUUUUGCAAUGAGGCAAGGGGGACAGAAUAAGAGGCUAAUUUCCCGUCAACUCCCUCUAUUGCCCAAGGAUAAAUGAUUUCAUGAAAACUUCAUGAAAAAAAUAGCAUUGCUGCCAUAAUUACUUAAUUAUACAUUUCUGCCAAUUCACUACCCUGCACAUUCAAAUAAAGAUGUACUAAUCUUGGGAUUAAGAUGGUCCAGUGGUUAAGACUUCAUGCUUCCACUGCACAGGGCGUGUGAUCAAUCCCUGGUUGGGAUCUUCAUGCCUGGGAAGUGUCACAGCCAAGAAAAAUAAAAUAAAAUUUUGAAAAUAUUUUUAUUUUUUAUUUUCAUGUGGGAAAUGGUGGUUUUUUAAAAUAUUUAUUUAUUUGGCUAUGCUGGGUCUUAGUUGAGGCAUGCAGGAUCUUUUAAUUGUGGUAUGCAGGAUCUAGUUCCCUGACCAGGGAUCAAACCUGGGCCUCCUGCAUUGGGAGCAUGGAGUCUUAACCACUGGGCCACCAGGGAAGUCACCAAAAAAUAUUAAAAAAAAAAAAAAAAGUUACACAUGAAGAAAGAUCUCCAGUAAUUUAUUUGUUAGUUCUUUGGGAUUAGGAAAUGUAUGUGAAUAGAUUCCUUUGUGGUAUUGAUGUCCACCAUGGCCUGAAUAUUAAGAUUCUGCUUUAUAUAUAUGAGACAGUAAAAUAUGUGUUGAAUGCUUAAAGACAUUUUAAAGUGCUUAGAUAAGUAUCCCAGUAUCAUAGUCUCACCUUUUAGAUUUAUAUGGCAGUAAUAAUAAUAGUAUUUAAUCAUCACUCCCUCAGUUAUCUUUUUAUUGCUGUGUAACAACCACCUGAAAACCUAGAAGCUAAAGUAACAACCAUUUUAUUUGGGCUGGUCUCAGCUAGGCAGUUCUGGUCUCGCCUGGUUUCCCUCAUGUAAUUGUGGUUAUCUGAGAGCUCAGCUUGGAGGAAGGGGGUUAGGUGGUCUAAGGUACUUCACCUCCCUAUCUAGCUGAUGGCUAUGGCUGUUGUCUGGGCCAUGUGUCUUUCACAUCAUGGUCUCAGGGUUCCAGUAGAGUCAGACCAGAAGCUGCAAGGCAUAGUAAGCACUUGGCUCAUUAGCUACACAACUUCAUUUUUGCCACAUUCGGUUGGCCAAAGCAAGUCGCAAAGCCAUGCCAAGAAUCAAGGAAGUGGAGAAGUAGACUUUACUUCCUGGUCAGUUAUAGCUAAGACACACUACAAAAGGGCAUGCACGUAGGAUGGAGGAAUUUAUGGCCAUUUUCAACAAUCUACAUGCUAGGCACUUUACACGUUUGCAUGCAUUAUCUCAUUUAUUUUUCACAACCAUCCUAUGAGAUGUGUAUAUUAUUGAACCUAUUUUACAGAUGAGAAAACUGAAACACAGGGAUGUUAUGUAAGUUAACAUUUCUAUUUGGAAAAUGUUUAUUAAGGGUUCUUAAUGGGGCUUACCUGGUGGUGCAGUGUUUAAGAAUCCGCCUGCCAAUGUAGGGGACAUCAUUUCGAGCCCUGGUCCAGGAAGAUCCCACAUGCCACGGAGCAACUAAGCCCGUGCGCCACAACUGCUAAAGCCCGUGUGCCACAACUGCUGAAGCCUGUGUGCCACAACUACUGAAGCCUGCACGCCUAGAGCCCGUGCUCCGCAACCAGAGAAGCCACCACAAUGAGAAGCCCGCGCACCGAAACGAAGAGUAGCUCCCGCUCACUGCAGCUAGAGAAAGCCUGCGCACAGCAACCAAGACCCAGCGCAGCCAAUAAUUAAUAAAUACAUAAAUUUAUUUUUUAAAAAAAGUUCUUAAUGACUAAAACUAUGCUGGUAAUAGAAUGUUACAUUUAAAGGAAGCAUAAAAUAUUAUAAAUAAAGUAAUUCAAUUAUGUUUUUAAAAUAUAUGCACACAAACAUUCUGGGAGGAAAUAUUCAAAAAUAUUAAAUUCUUCUGAGUUGGAAAGUAAUGGAUAAUUGUGAUUCCAUCUUUUUUUGUUUUCCACAUUGUUUAUGAGUAUAUAUUUACUUUUAGAAAUUAAAAGUAAUGUUUAAAAAGUAAAUCUCUAUAAAAACUCACAAGAAGAAAUAGAUGAUCUGAAUAGACCUUUGUCUAUUAUAAUGAAUCGAUAACUAAUAACCUUCUAAAACAGAAAGCACCAGGCCCACAUGGGUUCACUGGUGAAUUCAACCAAACGCUUAAGGAAGAAAGUAUACAAAUUCUUUACAAUCUCUUCCAGAAAAUAGAAGAAGAGAGAACACUUCUUAACUCAUUCUGUAAGGCCAGCAUUACCCUAAUACCCAAACCAGACAAAGACAGUACAAGAAAGAAAAACAACAGACUAAUAUUUAUCAUAAGCAUAGAUGCAAAAAUCCUUAACAAAUAAUAGCAAAUCAAAUCCAACAAUGUGUAAAAAGUUAUACAUUAUGACCAAGUGGGAUUUAUCCCAGAUAGGCAAAUCAGGGAGCAUGAUGCCUCCAGCUUUAUUUUUCUUUCUCAAGAUUGCUUGGCUCUUCAGGCUCUUUUGUGGUUCCAUACAAAUCUUAGGAUUGUUUGUUCUAUUUCUGUGAAAAAUGCCAUUGGAAUUUUUAUAGGGAUUGCUUUUAAUCUGUGGAUUGCUUUGGGUAGUAUGGAUAUUUUAACAAUAUUAAUUCUUCUAAUCCAUGAGCAUAGAAUAUUUUUCCAUUUAGCUGUGUCUUCUUCAAUUUCUUUUCUGAAUGUCUUAUAGUUUUCAGUACGUAGGUCUUUGACCUCCUAGGUUGAAUUUAUUCCUAGGUAUUUUAUUCUUUUUGGUGCAAUUGUAAAUGAGAUUGUUUUCUCAAUUUCCCUAUGUCUUACAGCUUUCUUUCCAGCUUAAAGAAGCCCCUUUAACAUUUCUUUUAAGGCUAGUUUAAUGGUGAUGAACUCCUUGAGCUUUUGCUUUCUGGAAAACUCUUUAUCCUUCAAUUCUGAAUGAUAACUUUGUCAGGUGGAGUAUUCUUGGUUGCAAGUUUUUUCCCCUUUCAGCUCUUUGAAUAUAUCAUGACACUCCCUCCUGGACUGAAAAGUUUUUUUCUGCUGAAGAAUCUGCUGAGAGUCUUAUGGGGGUUCCCUUGUAUGUAACAAGUUAUUUUUCUCCUUCUAUUUGCUGCUCUGUUGAGUUUGACUGCCUUGUCUUCAUGUUCACUGAUUGUUUCUACUGCUUCAUCUUGUCUGCUGUUGAACCCUUAAGUGUAUUUUUCAGUUAUUAUAUUCUUCAGCUCUGUUACUUCUAUUUGAUACUUUCUUAUAUUUUCUAUCUCUCUGUUGAAAUUUUCACUGUGUUCAUCUAUUCUUCUCUUCAUUUCAGCAAGCAUCUUUAUGACCAUUAGUUUUAACUUUUUAUCAGGUAAAUUACUUAUCUCCGUUUCAUUCAGUUUCUUCUGAGAUUUUAUCUUAUUUUUUCAUUUGGAACAUAUUCCUCUGUUUCUUCAUUUUGCUUGACUUUCUGUGUUGGUUUCUAUACAGUAGAUAAAACAACUACCUCACCCAGUCUUGAAGGAGCGGCCUCGUGCUGGAGGUGAAAUUUGUCAUUCAACCCUGCCCCAGCUCUUGGUUGUCUCUCAAAUCUUGUGCUUGUCCAAACAGCUUAUUAUUUUUUUUAUUCAAGUAUAGUUGACUUACAAUGUUGUGUAAAUUAAUUUCUGCUGUACCCCAAAGUGUUUCAGUUAUACAUAUAUAUACAUUCUUUUUCAUAUUCUUUUCUAUUAUGGUUUAUCACAGGAUAUUGAAUAUAGUUCCCUGUGCUCUACAGUAGGACCUUGUUGUUUAUCCAUUUUAUAUAUAAUAGUUUGCAUCUGCUAAUCCCAAACUCCCAAACAAUCCCUCCUCCCACACCCCUCCCCCUUGGCAACCACAAGUCUGUUCUCUAUGUCUGUAUGUCUGUUUCUGUUUCGUAGAUAAGUUCGUAUGUGUCAUACCACAUAAAAGUGAUAUCAUGUCAUACCACAUAUAAGUGAUAUCAUAUGGUAUUUGUCUUUCUCUUUCUGACCUACUUCACCUAGUAUGAUAAUCCCUAGGUCUAUCCAUAUUGCUGCAAAUAGCGUUAUUUCAUUCUUUUUUUAUGGCUGAGUAGUAUUCCAUUGUAUGUAUGUACCACAUCUUCUUUAUCCAUUCAUCUGUCAAUGGACAUUUAGGUUGUUUCCGUGUCUUGCCUAUUGUAAAUAGUGCUGCUGUGAACCUUGGGGUGCAUGUAUCUUUUUGAAUUAUAGUUUUGUCCAGAUAUUUGUCCAGAAGUGGGAUUGUUGGAUCAUAUGGCAACUCUAUUUUUAGCUUUUUGAGGUACCUCCAUACUGUUCUCCAUACUGUUUUCCACAGUGCCUACACCAAUAUACAUUCCCACCAACAAUGCAGGAGUGUUGCCUUUUCUCCACAGCCUCUCCAGCAUUUGUUAUUUGUAGAUUUUUUUUUACUUAUUUAUUUAUUUUUAUUUUUGGCUGCAUUGUGUCUUCAUUGCUAUGCGCAGGCUUUCUCUAGUUGCGGCAAGAGGAGACUGCUCUUUGUUGCGGUGCACGGGCUUCUCAUGGUGGCUUCUCUUGUUGCAGAGCAUGGACUCUAGGCGCACAGGCUUCAGUAGUUGUGGCACAUAGGCUUAGUAGUUGUGGCUCACAGGCUCAGUAGUUGUGGCACACAGGCUUAGUUGCUCCGCAGCAUGUGGGAUCUUCCCAGACCAGGGCUUGAACCCGUGUCCCCUGCGUUGGCAGGCAGAUUCUUAACCACUGUGCCACCAGGGAAGCCCCUGUAGAUUUUUUAAUGAUGGCCAUUCUGACCAGUGUGAGGUGGCAACUCAUUGUAGUUUUGAUUUACAUUUCUCUAAUAAUUAGCAAUGUUGGGUACCUUUUCAUGUGCCUGUUGGCCAUUUGUAUGUCUUCUUUGGAGAAAUGUCUAUUUAGGUCUUCUGCCCAUUGUUUUUUUUUGUUUGUUUUUUUUUUAAAUGCCUGCCUAGAAAAUGCACAGGCAAGAACUAAGUAGAUGAAAUUUUUUGUGUGGUUUUUUUUUUUUUUUUUAAUAAAGGAGGGUUUUCUUUUCUUUUUUUAUAUUUAUUUAUUUAUUUAUUUUUGGCUGCAUUGGGUCUUUGUUGCUGCACACAAGCUUUCUCUAGUUGUGGCAAGCGGGGCUACUCUUUGUUGCAGUGCACGGGCUUCUCAUUGUGGUGGCUUCUCUUGUUGUGGAGCACGGGAUCUAGGCGCGCAGGCUUCAGUAGUUGCAGCACGUGGGCUCAGUAGUUGUGGCUCAUGGGCUUGGUUGCUCCACAGCAUGUGGGAUCUUCCCAGACCAGGGCUCGAACCCGUGUCCCCUGCAUUGGCAGGAGGUUUCUCAACCACUGCGCAACCAGAGAAGCCCUUCUGUCCAUUUUUUGAUUGGGUUGUUUGUUGUUGUUGUGUUGUUGUUGAAUUGUAUGAGCUGUUUGUGUAUCUUGGAAAUUAAUACUUUGUCAGUCGCAUCAUUUGCAAAUAUUUUCUCCCAGUCUGUAGGUUGUCUUUUCAUUUUGUUUAUGGUUUCCUUUGCUGUACAAAAGCUUGUAAGUUUGAUUAGGUCCCAUUUGUUUAUUUUUGCUUUUAUUCCUGUUGGGUCGGCAGACUGACCUAAGAAAACAUUGGUACAACUUACGUAAGAGAAUGUUUUGCCUAUGUUUUCUUCUAGGAGUUUUACGGUGUCAUGUCUUAUAUUUAAGUCUUUAAGCUAUGUUGAGUUUAUUUUUGUAUAGGGCGUGAGGGUGUGUUCUCAAUUCAUUGAUUUACAUGCAGCUCAAACAGCCUAUGAUACUUUUACUUGCUCCCAGUAAAAGGCGUGUGCCAAGACCUGUCAUGUCCCAAAGGGGAGGGUCUCAGCACCUGGAUUCAGGCUGACUGGAAGCCAGACCCUCAGGCAGCAGCUUUUAAAAGAAUGCAACGUAUACAGCCCUGUGGGACUGCAAGUGUAAGCCCCACUGGCCACCAGAGCCAGGCUAUCUGGAGGUGUCCCCUGGGCAGCGGCUGCAAAAACUGGGACUCCAGACGAGCGUAUAAGCUCUUCUCUGGUAAAUACCAGUGAGCUAGGGAAAGGUAGAGGGAGCAUGCCCAAAUGAUCCACAGCCCACGUUCAUUUUGUUUUGUUUUAAUAGUGGUCACCCACUAUUAAAGUGGUAUCUUAUUAUGGCUUAGAUUUUCAUUUACCUAGUGAUUAGUGAUGUUGAGCAUCUUUUCAUAUGCCUCUUGGCCAGGUAUCUGGGUUUUAAACUGUUAUAGAGUGCUGAAUUGUAGCUGUUUUCAGCCAAUCCUCGUGUCUUUUGUAAGACUACAUAACAAAAAUAGCUCACAAACAAUCUAGAGACCAAUGAGCUUUUUAAGGUGCCUCAGAAGUUCAGCCCAUGUCACUUCAGUUGGGUUCUAACACUGUUGAGUUGGAGACCUUCAAUGUGGCCCAAAGCAUGUAGCAGUUCUAAUUCAAUCACUGUUUAAGUAAGUGGAUGAAUACUCAGAAGGAUAUAAAAGCCUCUUAAAAGAGAAGGAAUGUCUUAUUACAUACAGAAAACUCUAGGCCUACAUGGUUCCACUGCUGUAUUCUUCCAUCCAUUUAAGGAAGAAAUAAGACCAACUCUACACAAAUGUUUCCAGAAAGUAGAACACUUCCCAACUCUUAUUAUGAGGCUGGCAUUGCUCUGAUCCCAAAGCCAGACAAACGCUCUCUGCAGAGGGCCCUCAGACCUCCUUCCUAAAGCACACUGACUGGUACCAGUGGGAGCUGACUGGUGAAGCUGGGCCUGGAGCUCAGUGCUGGAAAGGGGGUGGGGAGGUGGUACAGGCUGGGGUGCUGUGGGAGUUCAGUCAGGACGAGCACCCUGAAAGGAGCUUUACAGAAGCGCAAGUUCUCCGGGUCCUGUGUGUGAUGCAGCAGGAGGGGCCUCCUUCAGAAGCAGCUCGCUCAUGCUGUGCAGUGUCUUUUUCCUUCUUUAAAGUUUAUUUUUGUGUCCCGUUGAGUGAAAUGCACCUUCCCACUGUACAGAACAGAAGGAAUAGUUACUCUGCUUUUUCAUCAAAUGAGAAUUUUUCUGGCAGUUUUGCAGUGAUUGACGUGGUUUAGCCAUUUUCACAAAAUUCCUCCCCAUUCUUUUUACGCCUGUUUUGUCCUGAGUCCUUAGGUUUCUGUGGUCCCCAAGGUCCAUGCACUUGGCCUGCUCCCCUGGCUGUGGAAGAAGAGGGGGCUCCUGCUGUCUCCCCCAGCUCCGUCUGCUGUGCUGCCUGCCAGGUGGAGUGAAGGCCACAUGGGACCAUCAAAGCCCUUUCCAUCAUCUUAGAUCCUGACCUUCCCAUGAAACCUGCCCAGGAGGAGGGGGUGACACCAAGAAGGAGGAGAAAAGCUAGUGGAGUAAAUACUAAGACCUGCAGGUGUGGAGACCCUGAGUCCCGUCUGGGAGCCCAAGGAUGCAGGCAGGGUCCCAGCGAGGGCGGCUCAAGACGCCUUCCCUUGGCAUCCUUGUCAUCGCAGCUCAGGAACUGUCCAAGAGCACACAAGGCACGUCCAAACCCGGACCUAAUGCAGGACUCACCCCGCGGGGCACCCACAGGCCCUCAGCGAGGAGCGUGUGCCCCACGGAAGGCUGUACCAUGCUUGCCAGGACUGGAGAGGCUGCCUGGAAACACUUUUUUUCCUGCCUUUAGAAAUUUGCUUGCACUUUCUAGAAAAUAUACAUUAUAUAUAUAUUUUUUAUAUGUAAAAAUAUAAAUACACACACAUAUUCAGAUGUGUCCCUUGAAACUGUGAUGCCCGCACGUUAGCAUUCUCAUCUUAAACAGAGAACACUUGGCUUGGGGGUAGAGCUACCUGUAUGCUAAAUCAGCAGCUGUGGCUUGUCUCGCCCCUUAGGUUUCAGAUCUGCCUGGCCCUGUGAGGCACGAGGUUCCCCUGGGCUUUGAUGUCAGAAGAACUUGAGGUGCCCUGUCCCUCCCUCGGGUCCCCACACCCUGGAGCCUCAGCUCCUCCAUCUCUGCUUACCUGGCACGAGAUGCAAAGUGCCCGGGGCAGCUUGGCGCCAAUGGACAGAAACUCCUUUAAGCAGCUUCCAGCCUUGGAGGACCCGACAGAUCCAACUUUUUCAGUUUUACACUCAAUGUGCAAGUAUAUUGAACAUGAAUCGUCUUCAUUUAUCACCCAAGUGAGAAAACAUGGGUCUUUUAAAAACCUACGAAAUGUAAACUUUUCCUAAGACCUCAUCUAUACAAAGAAGUAACUACUAGUUGGACUGAUCUUUCAAGACGUUUCUCUAUGAUUACUUAUUUUCUGAAAUGUUUUAUUUCUUAUUAAAAUAACAUGUAUUGCACAAAAUUCAGAAGAAAAUAUCAAAGUGAAAGAAGAAAUUUUUUAAAUUAACCAUAACCCUGUGAGGUAGAGUGAUAACAACUAUGAAUAUUUUGGUGUUUUUCAUUCAUUUUGUGUGGAUACACAUGUAUAUAAAUAAAUACGUGCCAAUGUGGAA
This is an RNA transcript of Orcinus orca (killer whale), 14336 nucleotides long. It is a transcript of the gene named large tumor suppressor kinase 2, with no coding region annotated. The transcript is spliced from 4 exons. NCBI's taxonomy places the organism in Eukaryota, Metazoa, Chordata, Mammalia, Artiodactyla, Delphinidae. The record is from RefSeq and is a predicted model, not a curated record.